ACGCGCUUCCGAUCACGAAUGUUGGAUUGCGAGUUUCAGCAGUUUGAAAAAUAAAUCAAAAGAUUUUCUUUUCUUUUA
Molecule: long non-coding RNA, 78 nt
Organism: Sinocyclocheilus grahami
Lineage: Eukaryota; Metazoa; Chordata; Actinopteri; Cypriniformes; Cyprinidae
Exons: 3
Source: RefSeq, a predicted model, not a curated record